RNAcentral lists this ribosomal RNA (119 nucleotides) under Pteropus alecto (black flying fox). The record is from RNAcentral. Lineage: Eukaryota; Metazoa; Chordata; Mammalia; Chiroptera; Pteropodidae.
GUCUAUGGCCAUGCCACCCUGAACGUGCCCGAUCUCGUCUGAUCUCAGAAGCUAAGCAGGGUCGGGCCUGCUUAGUACUUGGAUAGGAGACCACCUAGCAAGACCAGAUGCUGUAGGCG